This 253-nucleotide ribosomal RNA is filed under the name uncultured bacterium. Its description in RNAcentral is "partial 16S ribosomal RNA". It matches the Rfam family "Bacterial small subunit ribosomal RNA", at positions 524 to 776 of the family's 1533-position model. The record is from RNAcentral.
UACAGAGGGUGCGAGCGUUGUCCGGAAUCACUGGGCGUAAAGCGCGCGCAGGCGGCAGUCUAAGUCCUCUGUGAAAUCACCCGGCUCAACUGGGUGGCUGCGGAGGAGACUGGGCAGCUUGAGGGGCCUAGAGGCCGGUGGAACUCCCGGUGUAGCGGUGAAAUGCGUAGAUAUCAGGAGGAACACCUGCGGUGUAGACGGCUUACUGGACCAUAACUGACGCUGAGGCACGAAAGCGCGGGUAGCAAACAGG